UAAAUGCAAAGGUACAAAGAGUAACUGAUAAGUGUGUUUGAACAAUGAUAGUUGUUCACAUUAGGCAUUUGCGUAGGUACUGUGUGCAGUUGCAACCCCCACUCAUAUGUGUGAAUUGAAUCUACUUCCUUUUCUUCCUGUUCAAAUAUAGGGUAAAAAUAAUGUUUAAUUUUUUAUUCAACCCAACAGAUUUUUUUUGUUGGAAUCAAGUUCAAGACAUGUCUUUUGCUGAUUGUGCCAGUAGAGCUGCAAGAGUGGUGGACAUGCAACACAGGGAGGUGAAAGAAGGGAGGAUCAGGAAGGAUGGAGGGAGGUGACAAAGCUGGGAGAAAGGAGGGAGACAUCAAGGAAGGUGGCAUGGGAAGAAAGUGAAGUUGUGGCCCAAGGCUAGAGUGUGAUCGUGUAAAAUUGUUACCUUUCCAUCAAUGCUCAGGUUCAUUGUCAUUUUUAAAGUCUGGCACUUGAAGAUCUACACAAUUGUUGUCGAGGAAGAUGAUAAACUCAAUGAGGAUGAUAAUUGGGGUUAUUGUGAAGCUCGAUGUUUGGUGGAGUACUCUCGCGGUAAAGAGGACAAGGCAUGCAAACAUGAGUAACCGAUAGGUUUGUGUAAUCACUUCCAUUUUUUCUAGGAACAUUGAAUAUAAUUGAUUUUGUAAAGAAAGCGGUAGAGAAGACUGUACUUUUGGACCUUCAGGUGAAGCGGGAAUUAUAUCAUUGUGAUAUCAAAUAAUUGUUCAUUGAUUGUUUGAAUGAGUUGUUGACAUAUGAUUAAUGUAUGAUAAAUUUGCGUUGUGAAGUAUGUGUAUGAAUCAAGUAUCGCCCACUUCUUUGAUUUUAUCGGUUUUGCUAAAUCUCAAUGUGUCUGAAUUUUUGUUGCCGUGUCACUGACUUUUUGCUUUGCACGAGGCCGAAGACGGGGAUGACAUGAGGAGAGCCAACCACAGCGAGGCCGAGCCAUGUACAAGCAGGAGCGAGUCUGAAACUUAAC
Molecule: long non-coding RNA, 988 nt
Filed under: Triticum aestivum (bread wheat)
Lineage: Eukaryota; Viridiplantae; Streptophyta; Magnoliopsida; Poales; Poaceae
Description: long non-coding RNA (TAES_LNC017637)
Source: RNAcentral